GGGGGCUGCUCCUAGUACGAGAGGACCGGAGUGGACGCAUCACUGGUGUUCGGGUUGUCAUGCCAAUGGCAUUGCCCGGUAGCUAAAUGCGGAAGAGAUAAGUGCUGAAAGCAUCUAAGCACGAAACUUGCCCCGAGAUGAGUUCUCCCUGAGACUUUAAGUCUCCUGAAGGAACGUUGAAGACGACGACGUUGAUAGGCCGGGUGUGUAAGCGCAGCGAUGCGUUGAGCUAACCGGUACUAAUGAACCGUGAGGCUUAACCUUACAACGCCGAAG
Molecule: ribosomal RNA, 276 nt
Filed under: Klebsiella pneumoniae
Lineage: Bacteria; Pseudomonadati; Pseudomonadota; Gammaproteobacteria; Enterobacterales; Enterobacteriaceae
Description: partial 23S ribosomal RNA
Rfam family: Bacterial large subunit ribosomal RNA
Source: RNAcentral